UCCCCAAAAUCAUCAUCGCAACCGUUUGGACGGCUGCGCUGAUUAUGCUCCCCUCGCGCACGCCGCCGCAGUCGUCCGCAGUCCGUCUUAACCGUCGUCACCACUCACAAUCUCGAACCGCCUCACCCUGACACAUCGCCGCGCUGCCCGGUGGCGCGCGAGCCUGCCUGCGACAGCCUCCCUGCCGUCUCAUGCAUCCGCAGAUGCUGGUGACGCCGUCGGGUUAGACGGGUUCUUCCGGUCCUUCCCGGCGCUAGAAGUACCAUACGCAAAGCUCGGAUUGAAAACCGAAUUCGACGAUCUUGAGCUUGGGGUAGUUGAGCUCGAUCUUACUCUCCUUCGGGGUCGGAUCGAGUCGGGAUGGGACGAAUCAGAUCUAGGAGGUUCCGGCCGCUCCACCUUGCGCGCUGAAUUUGUGCUCGCUCUGCACCGGCAGCCAGCCUGCCCGUGCUCCACGGGAUCAAGACACGGAACCUACUUUAUUAUUGAUCUCAGACCACAAGCAUUAGUUUUUUUUUUUGGAAAAGAGUGGAUUGCUUGAAGCAAUUAAAUGAGUGCUACUGCUGGAUAAACGAAAGUUGGAAUUUUAUUCCCCUUAUGCACUUCACAUCAUGGGUGCAUGUAGGUAUUUUUUUUCCAUCUAAAAUCCCCUUUGAGUGAAUAUGUAUGUGAACAUGUUAGUCACCCCUGGUCUACGGUCUAUUAAUUCACUAAUAUCUAUUCUUCGUCCAGUUUGUAUUGUAAUAUGAAAUAAGGCAGCCAGGGCCAUCCUAGAAUAUCUAUUUUGGAAAACUGUCGCAGUUUUAAUUUUGUAUAGUGUAGUCUGAUAAGAAGCUAUUAUCCUAGCGCCGUGAUUUUCACAUGCAGAUUCUUGUAUGGUGUUAAAUAUGAUAACUUGUUUUUACUUACACUCUUACAUAUAUCAUGCCAAAUAGUUUUACAUGUCUUGUGACACUUAUACCAGUUUUCUUUUUUCUAAAAAAAAUUGAACACUCCUUUGAGCUGCUCUUUUUCCUACAAAUUCAUAACAUUUCAUGGUGUCUCUUGAUGUUGAGAGAUGCUACAGAACUUGCUUCAGUCAGCAUUUCGGAAUGUUAAAUUGAAUGAGAAUAUCACUUACAAUCCUUUGCUUGAUGGUUAUUAUCAGUUCUUUUGUCCAAUGAUGAAUGUUGGCAGCUUUAUUUGCUUCAUAUGAUCUUAUUCUGAUCCAACACUGCCAAUAAUUGAGUGGUGUACAUAACUUCAUUCUAUGGGAGGCCAAAGUCUGCACUAAUGUUUGCUGUUAUCCUUACGAUCUGUCUUCAAAGGUCUUGAAAAGGGCAUAGCAAACACUGAGGGUGUGAAGAAUGGGCUGCUGCACCAAAGCGUUUAGCACAUAUAGUUUAUGCUUGUGAAUAAUAUCUCACAACGACUUAGUUACACAAAUCACUAAUAGUUAGUAGGUGAUGGAAACAUGGUACAAAAGCCCCGUGCAUAAACCUGAACAUUCAAGCUUGCCAGCAUUAACCUUGAAUCAAUUGGAGACCACCUAAAAUUAUGAUUAAUUAUGCAAUAUCUGCAAGAACCAAUUAUUGCACAUCUGGAACCUAAAAUUGUCACUGUCUAUUUAUAACUUCUCAUCUUUGAAUUAUCACCUAGGUUUUUUAGUAUGAGAUGAAUGCUUCCACUGGUUCUUUUAAGCAACAACGAUGUUGGUUGAGUUCUGGAGCAGACGCAGGGUUGGUGCCAGUGUUGCAGGGGAAGAUCUCAAUUGUGAAGAGGAUGCAGGUCAGGGAGGUACGUUUAUUCUUGAGGGUUGGGAUGCGGUCAGUGCUGAGAGGGAUAGAUGCCUUGCUGCUGGAGAAACAAGAUCUCUGGCUGACAUAGUAACUUAUAACCACAAGCAAGGCUUCAAGAAAUGGAUCAACAAGCGCAUUUAAGAGUGUUACAAGGAUGAGGAGCACAUCAGAUAUGGCAGCUCUGGAAGGAAGAUCAAGUACCAGAACAGGGAUGGAAGACUUGAGGGCUUCCUAAGAAAUGUUGGUAGGGGGCUAAAUCUCGAUUCUUGUACUGUCACAUCUCCAGCUGAUGCACAUCAACUUCAUCCCUGAUAUAAAGUUAUAAAAGAAUGGCUUGCCUAACAUCACUAGAAUCUUGCACAAUGUGGAGUCAAAAUGUUUUUUCAGAAACAUCAGUUCAGCGGUCCUGAUUGUACACUCCUUGGAGAACCAACCAGUAGAUUCAUUAGUUGUUUCUUUGCCCUAGGAUUUUUCAAAUAUGUAGUGUGACUGCGUGUUCUCCUGGAUCAUUUAGUAGAAUUUACAUUGUAAAAAAAGAACAGAUUGUUUAUUAUUUUCUAUGGUUGCAGCCAAA
This is a long non-coding RNA of Lolium perenne, 2352 nucleotides long. RefSeq lists it as uncharacterized. The record is from RefSeq and is a predicted model, not a curated record. NCBI's taxonomy places the organism in Eukaryota, Viridiplantae, Streptophyta, Magnoliopsida, Poales, Poaceae.